This is a long non-coding RNA of Carassius gibelio (silver crucian carp), 914 nucleotides long. RefSeq lists it as uncharacterized. The transcript is spliced from 3 exons. NCBI's taxonomy places the organism in Eukaryota, Metazoa, Chordata, Actinopteri, Cypriniformes, Cyprinidae. The record is from RefSeq and is a predicted model, not a curated record.
GAAACGGCUGUCAAAAAUACGUCAUCAAGGUCACAGGCAUUACUAUCCGAGGGAAGAUGAAUCGAUUCAACGAAGUGCGCUUGCGCCCCACCAAAGUUUUAAACCACUGACGCCGAAAUGGCGGAUCAGCAGCCAAGCGCUCACACCUCGUCUCAGGAAACUUCUGUUGGGGAGGAUUCAAUGUCUGUUGAGGCACAUGUGAAUGUGCUACAAAGUGAAACACAUCCAGACACAUGGACUGUCAAAGACCACAUGACAGGAACAUUCUCCUGGAGACGCUGAGAAAGCACGGAAGGAAUGUCUGAGGAGGAUGUACUCAAAAAAUACACAUACUUCAGGACACCUACUGGAGGGGACCCGUCUACACCUUUCCUACCAUACACCUGAUGGAUACUGACUGUAAAAUGGCAAUCACAGGAGGAGGGCUCAGUGUGGUGACAGAGACUUGUUAUAGCUCUUAUAUGUCAUUGCUCUUUUUGUUUUUUGAUUGCUUCAACUCUGUCCUCAUUUGUAAGUCGAUUUGAACAAAAGCAUCUACUAAAUGAAUAAAUGUAAAUAUUAGUAUAACCUGUGGUAUAGAUGAGUGCCAGUCAACUUUUUUCUGAUUCCAUUCUGUUAGAAACCAUGCACAGGAAGCAUAUGUAGUACUUUUGUUACUCAGUGAAUAGUCAGUAGUACAGUUGUAUUAUAAUAUAAUGGAGAAGGGUCUGGCUGCAGACUCACUCUCAGACACUUGCGCUUCUAUUUUUUAUUGGAUAUUUUAUUCUACUUAUUGGUUACUUCUUGUUUGAAUCUCUCAACAUUUGUUUUUCUCUUAGAUCUAUCUAUCUAUCUAUCUAUCUAUCUAUCUAUCUAUCUUUUUACUUGAAUUGGUGACUGAAACUGAAAGCUAAAUAAAUGGUUUAGUGGAUAAA